UCGAACGGAUUAAAGGGCUUGCUCUUUAGUUAGUGGCGAACGGGUGAGUAAUAUAUCGGAACAUAUCCGGAAGUGGGGGAUAACGUAGCGAAAGUUACGCUAAUACCGCAUAUGCCCUGAGGGGGAAAGGGGGGGAUCGCAAGACCUCUCGCUUUCGGAGUGGCCGAUAUCGGAUUAGCUAGUAGGUGAGGUAAAGGCUCACCUAGGCGACGAUCCGUAGCUGGUCUGAGAGGACGACCAGCCACACUGGAACUGAGACACGGUCCAGACUCCUACGGGAGGCAGCAGUGGGGAAUUUUGGACAAUGGGCGAAAGCCUGAUCCAGCCAUACCGCGUGAGUGAAGAAGGCCUUCGGGUUGUAAAGCUCUUUCAGCCGGAAAGAAAUCGCACUUCUUAAUACGAAGUGUGGAUGACGGUACCGGAAGAAGAAGCACCGGCUAACUCUGUG
This 448-nucleotide ribosomal RNA is filed under the name uncultured bacterium. RNAcentral describes it as "bacterial SSU rRNA". It matches the Rfam family "Bacterial small subunit ribosomal RNA", at positions 62 to 507 of the family's 1533-position model. The record is from RNAcentral.